Molecule: long non-coding RNA, 231 nt
Filed under: Homo sapiens (human)
Lineage: Eukaryota; Metazoa; Chordata; Mammalia; Primates; Hominidae
Description: HSALNT0201189
Source: RNAcentral
GAAUUACUGGAUGUUGGAAAAGUUUAUGCUUUUGGUUUUGAUCCAAGAGGCAUAAAUUGUCAACAUGCCAACAUGGAAAUCAUACACUCCACACAUUCUACCCAGACUACCCAGCUGUAAGCAGAGAGGUGUAGAUCCAAGUCUCCUGCCGGCAGGGUGAUUUAGCGCAGUUGUCAAUAAUCUGUACAACACGUAACAAUAAAGUUAUUGAUGUUGAGGAAAAGACUUCCG